RNAcentral lists this ribosomal RNA (494 nucleotides) under uncultured bacterium. RNAcentral's name for it is "partial 16S ribosomal RNA". It matches the Rfam family "Bacterial small subunit ribosomal RNA", at positions 28 to 507 of the family's 1533-position model. The record is from RNAcentral.
GACGAACGCUGGCGGCGUGCCUAAUACAUGCCAGUAGAACGCUGAAGGAGGAGCUUGCCCUUCUGGAUGAGUUGCGCACGGGUGAGUAACGCGUAGGUAACCUGCCUGGUAGCGGGGGAUAACUAUUGGAAACGAUAGCUAAUACCGCAUAAGAGUAGAUGUUGCAUGACAUUUGCUUAAAAGGUGCAAUUGCAUCACUACUAGAUGGACCUGCGUGGUAUUAGCUAGUGGGUGGGGUAACGGCUCACCAAGGCGACGAUACAUAGCCGACCGGAGAGGGGGUCGGCCCACAUGGGAACGGAGAACCGCCCAGGACCCCGAGGGGAGGAAGCGUAGGGGAACUUCGGCAAAGGACGGAAGGCUGAACGAAGAACGGCGGGGGGGGGGAGAAGGUUUUUGGGACGUAAAGCUCUGUUGUAAGGGAAGAACGAGUGUGAGAGUGGAAAGUUCACGCUGUGACGGUAUCUAACCAGAAAGGGACGGCUAACUACGUG